CGUGGAUUAAUACCGGAUGUGGCUGUAUGAACUGCGGUUCUAACAGUCCGGAUUCAUCGCUUCGGGAUAGAGCUCGCGGUCCAUCAGCUUGUUGGUGAGGUAACGGCUCACCAAUGCGACGAUGGAUAGCUGGUCUGAUAGGAUGACCAGUCACACUGGGACUGAGACACUGCCCAUACUCCUACGGGAGGCUGCAGUCGAGAAUCUUCCGCAAUGGGCGCAAGCCUGACGGAGCGAUGCUGCGUGCCGGACGAAGGCCUUCGGGUCGUAAACGGCUGUCACUCGGGACGAAUUUUGACGGUACCGAUAGAGGAACCCACGGCUAACUACGUGCCAGCAGGCGCGGUAAUACGUAUGUGGCGAGCGUUAUUCGGGAAUUAUUGGGCCUAGAGGGUUCGCACGUGGUACUGUAAGUCCGGUGUGAAAUCUCGAGGCUCAAGCUCGAAACUGCAUUGGAAACUGUAUUACUUGAGUGUCAGAGAUGAAAGCGGACUUCCUGGUGUAGCGGUGGAAUGCGUAGAUAUCAGGAAGAACACCGACGGCGACUGCCGCUUUCUGGCUGGCAAUUGACCCUGAUGAACGACAGCUAUGGUAGCGAACAGGAUUAGAUACCCUGGUAGUCCUAACCGUAAGCGUUGUGCACUGGAUGUGAGCCGGAUACAGGUCCCGUCAGUGUCUGAGCGAAGGCGUUAAGCGCACCGCAUGGGGACUACGCCCGCAAGGCUAAAACUCUAAGCGAAUGGACGGGGGCCCGCACAAGCGAUGGAGCAUGUGGCUCAAUUCGAGGCAACGCGAAGAACCUUACCUGGGUUUGACAUAUACCUGACCGCCGGUGAGAGCCGGAUUCUCUCGGAGCAGGUAUACAGGUACAGCAUGGCAGUCGACAGCUCGUACUGUGAAGUGUUCGGAUAAGUCCGGCAACGAGCGCAACCC
RNAcentral lists this ribosomal RNA (933 nucleotides) under uncultured organism. RNAcentral's name for it is "bacterial SSU rRNA". It matches the Rfam family "Bacterial small subunit ribosomal RNA", at positions 157 to 1104 of the family's 1533-position model. The record is from RNAcentral.